GGAGCAUGUGGUUUAAUUCGAAGCAACGCGAAGAACCUUACCAGGUCUUGACAUCCCCUGACAACCAAGAGAUUGGGCGUUCCCCCUUCGGGGGACAGGGUGACAGGUGGUGCAUGGUUGUCGUCAGCUCGUGUCGUGAGAUGUUGGGUUAAGUCCCGCAACGAGCGCAACCCUCGCCUCUAGUUGCCAGCAUUCGGUUGGGCACUCUAGAGGGACUGCCGGCGACAAGUCGGAGGAAGGUGGGGAUGACGUCAAAUCAUCAUGCCCCUUAUGACCUGGGCUACACACGUGCUACAAUGGGCGGUACAAAGGGCUGCGAACCCGCGAGGGGGAGCGAAUCCCAAAAAGCCAUUCGUAGUCCGGAUCGCAGUCUGCAACUCGACUGCGUGAAGUCGGAAUCGCUAGUAAUCGUGGAUCAGAAUGUCACGGUGAAUACGUUCCCGGGUCUU
This 449-nucleotide ribosomal RNA is filed under the name uncultured Geobacillus sp. RNAcentral describes it as "bacterial SSU rRNA". It matches the Rfam family "Bacterial small subunit ribosomal RNA", at positions 934 to 1382 of the family's 1533-position model. The record is from RNAcentral. Lineage: Bacteria; Bacillati; Bacillota; Bacilli; Caryophanales; Anoxybacillaceae.